RNAcentral lists this long non-coding RNA (1268 nucleotides) under Heterocephalus glaber (naked mole-rat). Its description in RNAcentral is "lncRNA (ENSHGLG00100051469.1)". The record is from RNAcentral. Lineage: Eukaryota; Metazoa; Chordata; Mammalia; Rodentia; Bathyergidae.
CAGGGCUUGGUCCCCAGCUUGUCCCUGUUGAGGGGUAGUGGAAACUCCCGGGCGGAGAAGUACAGGUCUUUGGGUGUGUGCCCUUGAAAGGGAGUGUGGGACUCAGUCUCUUCUUUCUCUCUUUUAGGAAGGGAGUGGUUCUGUCCUGUCACACAACCCUGCCAGGAUGUGCUGCCCUGCCAUAGCCUAAAAGCAACAGCCAACUGACUGUGGGUUGGAGCCUCUGAAACCAUGAGUGUUACCAACAUGCGAUGGUGACAAAGGGUCUGUGCGUUUAUUUCAUCCUUCAAGUCGGAUGGAUGCCAGUCCUGAACUCAAGGUUCUGUUGGCCUCACAUGCACACUCCGCUGACCUCUCCACCAAGGUCCACAGCUGGGAAGGGCUGACACCCAAGACAGGGCACUGAGGACACCACAUCCAGCACUGAUGGCGACCGGUGAGAGGGUGGUGCCGGGAGCCCCACGGCACUGCCCAGUCCUCUCCUGGGAUGGUGAGGACUUCGGGAGGGGUCUGAGCACAAGGCCACACAUUUUCCCUUGGACUGUGGGGCCCUAGCAGCCCUCCUUGAUCUGAACAUGAUGGCAGUGAUAUUGUCUGACAGUUGAGGCUCCAGCCUAAAAGAUCAUGUGGUUUCUACCUCGUUUGCCUGGAGCCCUGAGCUGCCAUGCUGGAGGGAUGUGUGCACAGGUACAGAGGGAGGGGAAAGGGACAGUUCAGUCAUUUGUCACCCCACGCCAGGUAUCAGGCAUUUAGUGAGAGCACGUCAGGCAGCGGAGUCUUCCCAGCCAUCACCUGCCAUGGACUAAAUGUUCAUGGCCCUCCACGAGCAGAAGUGGAAGCCCCAGCCUCAGUGUGACCGUGCUGGAAGAUGGAGCCAUCAGGACACAAUCAGGGUUGAAGGAGAUCAUGAAGGUGGGGCCCCAAACCCUACAGUAUGUGGUGCAGUCCAUAGCAUUUCUUCUGCAGCAAGACAACCGGAAAAGCCCCUUCGGAACCCACUACUGAGGGCCACACACGCUUGGAGUUGCUGAAGGCCACACCUGCUAAGAAAUGGAAAGAGAGAGAGCCUGAGAGAAGCUGGGCAUGGAGGGGCAAGGAAGAGGAGUAAAGACCUCUGGGUCAAGCUGGGCCAAAUCGUCUCUCAACAAAUUCCUUUAAAAAAAAAAUUAAGCCAGUUUGAUUUGUAUUAUGUCCCCUGCACUUGUAACUGGACAAAAGGAAUACAAAGGAGAAAUGGCGAAGUGGAACAUGGAAGAUCAGGACCAAAU